AUUAAACGCUGGCGGCAUGCCUUACACAUGCAAGUCGAACGGCAGCACGGGGCAACCUGGUGGCGAGUGGCGAACGGGUGAGUAAAGCAUCGGAACGUGCCCUGGAGUGGGGGAUAACGUAGCGAAAGUUACGCUAAUACCGCAUAUUCUGUGAGCAGGAAAGCAGGGGAUCGCAAGACCUUGCGCUCUGGGAGCGGCCGAUGUCGGAUUAGCUAGUUGGUGGGGUAAAGGCCUACCAAGGCGACGAUCCGUAGCGGGUCUGAGAGGAUGAUCCGCCACACUGGGACUGAGACACGGCCCAGACUCCUACGGGAGGCAGCAGUGGGGAAUUUUGGACAAUGGGCGGAAGCCUGAUCCAGCCAUGCCGCAUGAGUGAAGAAGGCC
RNAcentral lists this ribosomal RNA (384 nucleotides) under uncultured bacterium. RNAcentral describes it as "bacterial SSU rRNA". It matches the Rfam family "Bacterial small subunit ribosomal RNA", at positions 29 to 416 of the family's 1533-position model. The record is from RNAcentral.